UUACCCCACAGAGUGCAGAGAUGAACCCCUGUCUGAGAAGAUGCAGGUACCCACGGGGUGCAGAGAUGAACCCCUGAGAAGAUGCAUGUACCCACGGGGUGCAGAGAUGAACCCCUGAGAAGACGCAUGUACCCACGGCUGCCCCUCAUCUUAGCACCACAGUGCCAGCCCCACCCCGUCUUUGAUAAACCCUGACCUUCCAGGGCCUCCCUUAGAGAGCCAGCCCCUGCCGAGUCCACAAAGGUAGCUGCGGUCCGGGGUGCCGACCCUUCGCAUUGGGAGAAACCCUCACCAGUAGCAUCACCCCCCAGUGAGCCGAGGUCACGCCACUGCAGCAUCACCGGGGAGGCAUCUGGUUGUCGCUGCAGAACUCUGGAGGGGCAGGCUCUCGUGUGGGUGGGGGCCAUGGAGGACGCAGCGUGGGAUUUAAAACGAGCUGAAGGGAAAUUUCCCAGUGAAGGGAAAUGCUGGUACUUCAAUGUCCAUGAGCUCAAGCCCUGUGGGAGGUGUAGCCUCGAUUACUCUGUACAAAUCUGAACAGCAUUCACACCCAGUUGGACGUGGCCCUUUCCUCGAACCACAGAUUGGAACUCAAGGUCACUGAAGUGCUUUCUGGCCACAUCAUGGAGAGAAAGGCAUUUUCCCACUCAGGCGUCACCCAGGGAACGCAGCGUGCUGUGUUUUAGCAUCUAAAUGUGUCCCUCGAGGAGGCAGGGUUAUGCCGUGAUCACAAGCAACCCCCAAAUCUCAAUGGCAUAAAUGGCACAGGGUAAUUUCUCACGGGAUUGCGCGUCCACCUGGGUCACUGCGGAGUUCUGCUGGCCAGAGUCGCUCGGAGCCCCCGCGUGAAUGCUGGAUGGCCAGCCGGGGAGGGCACUCAGGGGCCUCGCACCGUCCACGCCCCACUCCGAAGCGACACCCGUUGCUUCCACCCGUCACCUGCUGGAGACAGACAGUCACACGGGCCCCUGGACGCAGUGGGGUGGGAAGGGAGAUCCUACCGCGUGCUUGGAAGACGGGAGAACCCGGGUGUUUUGGUGAGUAGUGCUCUCUCAGUCAGCACCGCAGCCUUCCAGCAAAUCGGGAUUUUAUGCCAAACCCACCUCACGCCCCCAAAUACCAGGCUCCCCAGUGUAGCAACGAAUGACACGCUGUCGAAUCAGACUUCAAUGCAACCAUGUCACAGAAGACAUGACUAAAGCAAAACACGACUUUUGGUUUUGACGACUUUGGGUCUGGGCCUCUGCUUCCCUUUCCUGGGCCAAGAUCCUCUGGGCGUGGAGUUCAGGAAUGAGGGUGGGAGCUUCCCCAGGAGACCCAAGUGUGGGCGGCGGUUGCUCGGACCAAGUCCUCACUGAGAGUGACCUCGACAGACAUCCACUGGCAGCUCCAGCUUAGGCCCAGGAGACAAAGUGGGGGUCACUGACACCCCAGAUUUUUUUAAAUGACUGAAUCAUUAUUUGAACGCUGGUCUGUUGGAUUUCAAGGCCUGUGAUUUUUCCACUGCUGACUCCUGGGACAGCAGAGUUUCUUAGAUUGGACAUAACAACACACUGAUCCCCGCCCCUCCUGCUUUUCUGUUUUUAAAAUCAUUUUGUUUUUAAUUCACAAAUAUUGCAUAUGUCAUAUGGGGUACCAUGCGAUGUUGAUAUAUGUUUAAAAUGUGGAAUGAUUAAAUCAGGCUAAUUUACUAUUUUUUCUAAAAGGACCUUGGAUUCAAAAUUAACUUUAAUUUUCUUUCCACUUUGCCUAUUUAGCCUUGGCAAGAUCAGUCCUUUGUGGCACGUCCAGGAUUUAAGCUUUGGACCACCAAUGAGGAGGGCGUUGGUCUGAGCCUGUUUUUCCAAAUGCUGUCUUCCCUUCUUGGGCUUAGGCAGCAGAUCCAACUAUGGGCACAGCAGGCCUUGGGAAGGCAAUGCAGGUUCACAGUGUGCUGAAGACGAAGAGAUGCAGGGGACUCAAACCCACCGGCCGAGGCACCACCCGCUUCUCUAGGAUUCAUUUUUCCUGUUUCCUCCUGGCCCAUGAUGUGGACAACUUGCCCCUUCAUCAUAAGCGCUCAGGUUGGUGAACAAGUCACCCACCAGCAUAUUCAAACCAUGGCCAAACAGUGGCUGAAAAUGACAGCAAGCAGCCACUUAGCACAGGGAUCUGUCAGUGGGCUGGACGCGACAGGGAGGAUUUGGCUCUGCGCCUGGGUCCGGGACCCCGAAUGGCAGUGGGGUUGGCUCUGCACCUGGGGCCCGGGACCUUGACUGGCGGUGGGGGCUGGAGGAAGCUGCACUCAUUGGACGGCUCGGCACUCACACAUCUGAGGGUUGUGGCUGGCCUUGGCAGAGACCUGCUCCUGGCAGUGGCUGAGCUGUCGGAAUCCAGCACCUGCCCCUCCACUUGACCUGAGCUUCCUCACAGCAUGGCUACCCGGUUCCAAGCUCCAGCCCCAGGAGAGAUGGCCAGGCGGGAGCUGCAUCAUGUUCUCCCAUUUCCUGUUCUUGAUUCACCCCCACUGGGCACUGCAGCCUUCCUGCCAACACAGCUCUCAGGAGUAUGGCUGCCACACGCAGAGGCAUUUCCCCAUAUGGCCCUCCUGUGUGCUGUAAAUGCUGACAGCUCCUCAAUGGAACCCGCGUGUGGUGGGCGCUGCUUCCUCGUGUAAAUGCUCUCGUCAUAACUGGUUUCAAGCCGACAGUACGACCACUGAGUCCAGAGUCAGGAACAACGGCUCUGCACGCUGGUGGGAAUUCGCCCCGGCUCACGCCUGCACCCCGGCCAUGGCUCUGUGGAGCUCUCCGUCCCAGGGAACCUUCUCCUGGCUUUCGCAUCCUGCCCCUUCCCAGAUUUCCGACCUCUCUGGCUGUGCCUUCUGUGCCUUCCCCGCAGCCCUGAUAUGGGCACGGCUCAUGUCCAGCACUCCUCAGCACUUCCUUCUUUCCCAGCUCCGCCCACAACUUCCUCCACGCCUGCUCCGUUUCUGUCUGAGUGCAGGCCACUCCCAGGUUGACACCUGUGUUCCACGUUGCACGGCUCGGCGUGUGGGCUUGGACAGUGGGAGAUGCAGCUUUCCAUGAACAGCCCUGGUGUGUGGUCUGGCAAGUGGUAAGGCGGCUCCGUGGUGGUCAGGACUGAACUCGGGGUCUUGCUGCUCUGCCACCCUCCACCCAGAUCUGCAGCUCAGAGCUGAAGGUGACAUUGUGCCUUCUGGUCAGUGGGAAGGAGUUAGGAGAAGAGAGGGCGGGACCUGCUUCUCUGUUGAGGGUGUGGGCGGGAAGCACAGGCUUCACUCCCCUCCACAGCCAGGCAUGUGGGUGACGUGGC
Chlorocebus sabaeus (green monkey) is the source of this 3315-nucleotide non-coding RNA. The record is from RefSeq and is a predicted model, not a curated record. Lineage: Eukaryota; Metazoa; Chordata; Mammalia; Primates; Cercopithecidae.